This 798-nucleotide long non-coding RNA is filed under the name Lathyrus oleraceus (garden pea). RNAcentral describes it as "Pisum sativum (pea) long non-coding RNA (PSAT_LNC038619)". The record is from RNAcentral. Lineage: Eukaryota; Viridiplantae; Streptophyta; Magnoliopsida; Fabales; Fabaceae.
UGACAACUAAUGAUUUGUUUUUUCACAUGUGAGCUAUAACGACUCUAAAAAUAAAAAAAGAAUAAAAAAUGGACAGGUCUACUAACUCACUCUGGCUCCAACGUUUAGGAUAGGACAGAAAAAAGAAAAAAAAAAGAAGCUCUUCCUCUGAGACCGAAAUCCCUUCGUCUUCUAAACCAUGCAACGCUCCCCAAACCGCUUCCACUCACCGGCGAAACCAACCGCCACUCCUUUCUUCGCCGUCGACCACAGCUGGAACCGUCAACCUACAACAUCUCUGACCGCUUCGUCUUCUUCAUCAUCGCUCCGUUUCCACCGUUGCGCACCCUCUGAAACUACCAUGAACACUCAAAUUCGUUAACCACAACAACUCCUCAAACGUCCGCAAAUCCAGCAGCUCUGGUUCACAUCAGCAUUCAACAAUUCAAGUAGUAUGUGAGGCAAUUGUUUCUACGACAAAAUCAAUGUCAUUCAUCGAGGUUCAAGUGGUAUUUCGAUUUGAUUAUCUUUUUUGUUUAAUUCAGUUUUAACUUGUUGGGUGAAUUAUGUUGAGUUUCAUCUCUCUUCAUUGUUUAAAUAUGUACGCUGCAGUUAUGAUUUUCUAAUGUUUCGACUUCGGUUUUGAAAAUCUUUAUUUCAAUUUUGGGUAAUUGUUUUUGCUGAUAAUCACUUCGUGUGGAUGAUUUGUUUUUACUAAUGUAUAUAGUUUGGUUAUUAAUUACGAUCCCGUUAUGUUGUGCUUGUGUUGGAUUUGGAUGUUGUGACAUGGAUAUCAAUACAAGGUCAAAAUGCGUGAUA